Molecule: ribosomal RNA, 909 nt
Filed under: uncultured Pseudomonadota bacterium
Lineage: Bacteria; Pseudomonadati; Pseudomonadota
Description: bacterial SSU rRNA
Rfam family: Bacterial small subunit ribosomal RNA
Source: RNAcentral
CAAGUCGAACGCGAAAGUUUCCUUCGGGAAACAAGUAGAGUGGCGCACGGGUGAGUAACACGUAGGUAAUCUACCUUUGGAUGGGGAAUAACAACCGGAAACGGUUGCUAAUACCGCAUAAUGCAGCGGCACCUAAUGGUGACAGUUGUUAAAGCGGGGGAUCGAAAGACCUCGCGUCUGAAGAGGAGCCUGCGGCGGAUUAGCUAGUUGGUAAGGUAAUGGCUUACCAAGGCUACGAUCCGUAACCGGCCUGAGAGGGCGGUCGGUCACACUGACACUGACAUACGGGUCAGACUCCUACGGGAGGCAGCAGUCGGGAAUUUUGGGCAAUGGGCGAAAGCCUGACCCAGCAACGCCGCGUGAAGGAUGAAAUCCCUCGGGAUGUAAACUUCGCAAGAACAGGAAGAAUAAGUAGGGGACAAUACCCCCUAUGAUGACGGUACUGUUUGUAAGCUCCGGCUAACUCCGUGCCAGCAGCCGCGGUAAUACGGGGGGAGCAAGCGUUGUUCGGAUUUACUGGACGUAAAGGGCGCGUAGGCGGUCAGCACAAGUCAGUUGUGAAACCUCCGGGCUUAACCCGGAAAGGUCAACUGAUACUGUGCGACUAGAGUGCGGAAGGGGCAACUGGAAUUCUUGGUGUAGCGGUGAAAUGCGUAGAUAUCAAGAGGAACACCUGCGGCGAAGGCGGGUUGCUGGGCCGACACUGACGCUGAAGCGCGAAAGCCAGGGGAGCGAACAGGAUUAGAUACCCCGGUAGUCCUGGCCUUAAACGAUGAAUGCUUGGUGUCUGGGGUUAUAAAGUCCCCGGGUGCCGUCGCUAACGCUUUAAGCAUUCCGCCUGGGGAGUACGGUCGCAAGACUGAAACUCAAAGGAAUUGACGGGGACCCGCACAAGCGGUGGAGCAUGUG